CACGUAGGGCGCAAGCGUUGUCCGGAAUUAUUGGGCGUAAAGAGCUCGUAGGCGGACUGUCACGUCUGCUGUGAAAACCCAGGGCUUAACCCUGGGCUGGCUUUCGAUACGGGCAGACUAGAGGUAUGCAGGGGAGAACGGAAUUCCUGGUGUAGCGGUGAAAUGCGCAGAUAUCAGGAGGAACACCGGUGGCGAAGGCGGUUCUCUGGGCAUUACCUGACGCUGAGGAGCGAAAGUGUGGGGAGCGAACAGG
Molecule: ribosomal RNA, 253 nt
Filed under: uncultured bacterium
Lineage: Bacteria
Description: partial 16S ribosomal RNA
Rfam family: Bacterial small subunit ribosomal RNA
Source: RNAcentral